Long non-coding RNA from Oncorhynchus nerka (sockeye salmon), 5689 nucleotides. RefSeq lists it as uncharacterized. The record is from RefSeq and is a predicted model, not a curated record. Lineage: Eukaryota; Metazoa; Chordata; Actinopteri; Salmoniformes; Salmonidae. The transcript is spliced from 2 exons.
GAUAGGGAGUGUUUCUUUGAAGUCACGAAUACUUGCUAGCUACAGAACUACUUGCACAAUCACUGUCUUAGUCUUCAUCAUAGGAUCAGUGAGUUAGCAAUGGAUGUGUCACCACUUAAGAAGAGAAAAAAAAGAGGACAACAGUUUUUUCAUUGGAGUGUAAGGACUACCAUGCCUCAGGACUACCUGGCCUGAUAACUCCUUGCUGUCCCCUGUCCACCUGGUCGUGGUAGUGCUCCAGUUUCAACUGUUCUGCCUGUGGCUAUGGAACCCUGACCUGUUCACCCUGACGUGCUACCUGUCCCAGACUUGCUGUUUUCAACUCUCUAGAGACCACAGAAGUGAUAGAGAUACUCUGAAUGAGCGGCUAUUAAAAUCCAACUGACAUUUACUACUGAGGAGCUGACCUGUUGCACCCUCGACAACCAAUGUGAUUAUUAUUAUUUUACCUUGCUGGUCAUCUAUGAACAUUUGAACAUCUUGGCCAUUUUCUGUUAUAAUCUCCACCCGGCACAGCCAGAAGAGGACUGGCCACCCCUCAUAGCCUGGUUCCUGUUUUUUUCCUAGGUUCUGGCCUUUCUAGGAAGUUUUUCCUAGCCACCGUGCUUCUACAACUCCAUUGCUUGCUGUUUGGGGUUUUAGGCUGGGUUUCUGUACAGCACUUUGUGACAUCAGCUGAUGUAAGAAGGGCUUUAUAAAUACAUUUGAUUGAUUGAAGGCCUGCGGGCAUUCAACUUGCAAUAGUUGAUAUUGUUUCCACAGUAACUUGUACACUGUAUAUCCAUGAUGUGAUGAAACAUUGAAACUAAGUUGCAAGCUACUUUUGCAGCAACGCAUUGUGGAACAAGUGUUAUACAAAAGCACAUUUCAGACACUGGCUCAUGCUAUCUUGCCAUAACUGAUUUGUCAGAGAAAUACACCACAUGACCAAACGUAUGUGGACACCUUGCUUUGUGCACGGGGGCAUUGUCAUGCUGAAACAGAAAAGGGCCUUCCCAAAACUGUUGCCACAAAGUUGGAAGCACAGAAUUGUCUAGCAUGUCAUUGUAUGUUGUAGCGUUAAGAUUUCACUUGAUUCCACUGGAACUAAGGGGCCUAGUCCGUACCAUGAAAAACCGCCCCAGGCCAUUAUUCCUCCUCCACCAAACUUUAUGGUUGGCACUAUGCAUUGGGGCAGGUAGCGUUCUCCUGGCAUCCACCAAAACUAGAUUCUUCUGUCAUUUCAUUAAGCGCCCGACGAACAUUUUGGAAAUCAGUAGUGAGUUUUGCAACCGAGGACAGAUGAUUUGUAUGCGCUAAGCACUUUGUUGCUCCUAGACGUUUCCACGUCACAAUAACAGCACUUACAGUUGACCAGGGCAGCUCUAGCAGGACAUGAGUGCAGUGGCCGAUAUAAACGUAAUGAGUGCAGUGCUAGAUAAAAACCUAAACAGUAUGAAGUAGAAAAUAUCUUGAACUGCCACCGUUUCAUUUGAAACAGAAAUGUGGCUCAGUAUAUGGACACUUUCAAAGUAUUUUUGGCAGAAGGGAAAUGGAAACUGACACGGGCAAAAUAUAACUCCUAAAUCCCAUGAAGAUCAAUAUUGGGAUCAAUAUCAAGUUUGAGGCUAAGAGCACUGAUCCGCAGAGCAAGGUUGACCUCUGUCAUUUUUAAAGACCAAAGAGUAAGCUCAGGUGUUACACUGUAGAACUGUGAGGCGGUCAAACAGUAUCCAUCAAGAUCAUCCGUUAAUAAAUGAAAGAUUACUAUAUGACUGAAGUAAUAACCGCCUUCAAUCUGAUUCAGAACCUUUUUUUAGCUGGAAUAUUUAUGAAUAUAGUAUAUAAUUUCAUAAAAAUAAAUUAACUACAAUAUUGUUGCUUAUCAAAGAAUAUAUCCAUAAUAUCUGUGUGAAUAUCAUAUUAUGAUAUCAUAAUAUGAUACAGUGUAGGGUGGCAGGGCGGCAGGGUAGCCUAGUGGUUAGAGCGUUGGACUAGUAACCGAAAGGUUGCAAGUUCGAAUCCCAGAGCUGACAAGGUACAAAUCUGUCGUUCUGCCCCUGAACAGGCAGUUAACCCACUGUUCCUAGGCCGUCAUUGAAAAUAAGAAUUUGUUCUUAACUGACUUGCCUAGUAAAAUAAAAAAAUUGCUACCAUUUAAAGGGAAUUUAAUGAGAUUAAAACUAGUAUUGAUGUCAUUCCUAAUGUCAAAUCAACUCUCUUGUGGAAAUUGAAACCUAUUUGAUCAGUAGACUAUAGAUCAUGAAUAUCAUAGUGCCCUUGCUAUUGAUUUUAAUCAAUAAUGUUGCAUAUUAGGCUAUGGUCGAGUCAAUAUAAUUAAUCAAGGUUCUUGAAAAAUAUAAUUUAAGGUCAUAAGGUAUUCACAUUAAUGUGACGGUUGCAUGAUCCCUUUCAGAUCUGUGUUUUAGGUUCGGUCAAACUUUGAAUUCCUUGACAGUUUUCUGUUCAUGCUAAUUCACCAGGAGAGCAGGGUGUGAUUAGGUUACUGUACUGAAUCAUGUCAGCAACAUCACAGUCAGUUGCUACAAUACAUCUAAUCCCAUAUUCAUAUUAUUUAUUUGAUCAUUUUUGUCACUUCAAUCCCUCAUAAUCCAGGAGCUUGGCACCUGAAUUGUAAUAGGUAAGUGGUACCCUACUGUAAUGUCUAAGAUGCCAGUGCAUUGCGUGUCAUGCUCUUGGUCAAUAUGACCAGCAGGCCAUUGGGCUCAUGGACCAGACGGUCUCUGUGGUUAUACUAACUAACCAAGUGAAAGCAUGCAGCAGGGAUAUCAUGCACAUUGGUCAGCUAUUAUCCAGACAGAUUUCUAUUUUUGACAUUUUGCAGGAUCUCUUGAGAUGCACAAUCUCGUUUUCAAGAGUGUCCAAAUGAGACAAACGAAACAAACAAACAAUACUUAAUAACAAUCAUAUUAUGGCAACUACUGCCUAAUAACAAUAAUAACAACAAUUAAAUAAUAAUAUUAACAAUACAAAUAAAAAACGUAGAGCAUGAAAGGUUUUGUACAAUUAAUAAAAACUACUACAACUACUAAAACGACGAAUAAAUCGAAGUACCUAUAAUAUAUACAUACUUACAUAUAGUACUUACAAAUAUCUUCACAUGGUGAUGUUUAUUAAAACACAAACAGUUUGUUCUUAACAUUUGAAAAAGUGUUUUCUUAAAUUCACUGUGUGAUUUUAAUGCCCUGAUUUCUAUAGGUAAAUGAUUCCAGUCAGGUCUUUGUAUCUUAAAGACCGUACUCCAACCUCAUGAUGUACCCAUUGAAUUUAUGAUUGCUGCUGUUGUUGAAAGGAGUAGUUGCCAUAUUAUUACAGAUAUUGUUAUGUAGGCCUAAUUCAACUCCAGCUCCGGCUCCAGUGCUAAAUGAGAGCUAAAAUGAACAAUAGGCAAUGCUUUAAUAAGCAAUUUCUUGGUCAUAGUUUAUGGAUUAUGUUUAAUAUCAUUGAAGUGUGUCAUAGAUAGUUUUAAUUGCACGAAUGCACUGCAACCAGCGCAUGACAUUUCUCACUCACACAGCAAAUUUGCGAUCAGAAUUUGUUCUGGACCUGGACACUGUGAAGAGACCUCUGGUUGCAUGUCUUGUGUUGUACCGAUGAGUGUCCGAACUGUGCGCUAACUGCUUGAACAGAGGUACCUUCAACACAUCAAUGCCUCGCAUAAAGACCAAUAGUGAUGCAGACAAUUUCUCCUCAACUUUGAGCCAGGAGAGAGACAUGCAUGUUACUGACACUUUCCCCCUGUGCACAUAUAAGUGCGAUACAUGCUGCUUUGUUCUGAACCAACUGCAAUUGACCUAUGUCCUUCUUUGCCACACAUGACCAGACAGCUGGGCAGUAGUCCACAUGUGACAAAACUAGGGCCUGUAGAACCUGUCUGGUUGACUGAGAUGUCAAGAAGGCAGAGCAACGCCCUGUCAUGGACAGACCUCUUCCCAUUUUAGAAACCAUUGAGUCGAUAUGUUUUGACUAUGACAGCUUGCUAUAUAGGGUUACAAGCAGCUUGCUCAAUAGCAACAUUGUUAAUUAAUAGAUAUAAUUAGGUUUGCGUUGAGCGAGUGAUUUGUCCCAAAAAAGAUGCUUUUAGUUUUUGAGAUAUUUCGCACCGGACUGUUGCUAUAGUUACCCAUUCUAAAACUGACUGGAGAUCUAAGUUAAGUGCCUCAGUUAUUUUGUCAGGCUUUAUUCAAGGUCAGUGGAAAGUCAUUUGUAAAAACAGAAAACAAAAAUGUCCCUAGCCGGUACACCACACUCAACUGAAUUUGAAUGAGAGAGGCUUCCAUUAACGAAACGCCUCUGUGUUCUAUUACACUGAACAAAAACGCAACAUGUAAAGCUCUGGUUCCAUGUUUCAUGAGCUGAAAUAAAAGAUCCCAGAAAUGUUCCAUAUGCACAAAUAUCUUAUUUCCCUUAGAUUCUGUGACACGGUUAGCUUUUAACAGCGAGGAUGGCUAUUUCUUGUCCCGGAAUCUUAACUGACAGGUUAAAGUCUGCUUGAAAGAAAAUGAACGGUUCCAGCUCUGUAGGAGCUGUAUCUACUACGCUUUGUUUCGGGACAAACUGGAUCACUCGGAGUUCCAAUGCGGCAAUUGUUUGCUUGGCGAGGAUUAUAGGCUUGAGGUGGCUUCGUUGAUCACACAGGUCGCCAGCCUACGUAAGAAACUGGGGAAAACGCAGAGUGGAAUGUUAAUCUUUUCUACACUGGUGGCUGGACGGCGUUCAUAUUAUGACUAUCUCAAACUCACUUGGACAAUACCUUUGAUGAUACAGUGGUAGCAAUACAAGGUUAUAACAUAUACAGAAAAGACAGAAAUGCCAGUGGUGGAGGUUUUGCUGUUUAUAUUCAAAACCACAUUCCUGUAAAGAUUAGAGAGGAUCUCGAGUUAAAUACUGUUGAAGAAAUAUGGCUACAGUUUAAUCUGUCUCACCUAAAGUCCAUUAUUCUGGGAAGCUGCUAUAGACCACCAAGUGCUAACAGUCAGUAUCUGGAUAACAUGUGUGAAAUACUUGAUAAUGUAUGUGAUAUCAACAGAGAGGUAUAUUUUCUGGGUGAUUUAAAUAUUGACUGUCUUUCAUCAAGCCUCUUGUUCAGCUCAGGUGUUUGGCGUUGCCGACCUUCUAGCUGCUGCCAAACCCGCUGCUGGAAAACGCCCUUUGCUCAUCAACCCCGGACUUGUCUCGUCAUCAUUACACACACCUGGUUCCAAUCCCCACUUUUUCACGGUAUAUCUACUCCCUCUGUCAUUUGUCUUUGUCGGUCAUUGUAAAUGUUGCUUGUUUUCCUGAGAGGAAUCUCUCCUACUCUUUCCUGAGUACUUUAUUAUUUUGCACUUUGGGUUUCGUCUCGCUUUUAUUAUGGUGCUUUAAUAAAUUCAGUAUUUCUGAACUGGCGACUGCCUCCUGCCUACUCCUCUCUACGCUUGUGACACCGGGGCUGAACCUGUUUUUAAUUCCAUUUUCUUUAUGGGAGCGUGUUUGUUAACAAUAUCACUGAAAAUAUUAAAAAAGAAGGUCCAAGCGUGUUCAACAGAGGGGAUCAAGCUGAUUCUAUACCAUUUUACAGAGGACAGUUCAUGAAGGAAGGCAUGCUCAUUAGCACCAGAUGGGACUGUUUUAGGUUUUCUCACGUUUGUUGUUUUUGUUAGUUAUCUCAUGUGUAGUGUCUUUAUAAAUUAAAGAACAUGAAUAACCA